This 468-nucleotide ribosomal RNA is filed under the name uncultured bacterium. RNAcentral's name for it is "partial 16S ribosomal RNA". It matches the Rfam family "Bacterial small subunit ribosomal RNA", at positions 28 to 507 of the family's 1533-position model. The record is from RNAcentral.
GACGAACGCUGGCGGCGUGCUUAACACAUGCAAGUCGAACGGAAAGGCCCUGCUUUUGUGGGGUGCUCGAGUGGCGAACGGGUGAGUAACACGUGAGUAACCUGCCCUUGACUUUGGGAUAACUUCAGGAAACUGGGGCUAAUACCGUAUAUGAGCUCCUGCUGCAUGGUGGGGUUUGGAAAGUUUCGGCGGUUGGGGAUGGACUCGCGGCUUAUCAGCUUGUUGGUGGGGUAGUGGCUUACCAAGGCUUUGACGGGUAGCCGGCCUGAGAGGGUGACCGGCCACAUUGGGACUGAGAUACGGCCCAGACUCCUACGGGAGGCAGCAGUGGGGAAUAUUGCACAAUGGGCGGAAGCCUGAUGCAGCAACGCCGCGUGCGGGAUGACGGCCUUCGGGUUGUAAACCGCUUUCGCCUGUGACGAAGCGUGAGUGACGGUAAUGGGUAAAGAAGCACCGGCUAACUACGUG